This 378-nucleotide long non-coding RNA is filed under the name Daucus carota (carrot). RNAcentral describes it as "long non-coding RNA (DCAR_LNC003133)". Lineage: Eukaryota; Viridiplantae; Streptophyta; Magnoliopsida; Apiales; Apiaceae. The record is from RNAcentral.
AAGAGCAUCUCCAAGGGGCUUUCUAAAUGAGCUCUUAACUUCAAAUUUAAAGAGCAAGACAAGAAAUAGAGCUCCAAUGGGCUCCUUGAAACUCUUUAAAAACUUAAGAGCUUAUCAUCUCUCCUUUCUUUUAAAGAGCAUGUAGGAGCUCUUAACAUGUUUUUCAUGAAUAUAAUAUUACAUUCCCUCCAACUUUAUCACAAACAUUUCUCUCUUUUCACUUUUCUCUCUCAUUUAUAUGAAUAAAAUAUUAAUAAGGAGCAAGUAUAAAGAGGAGCAUUGGAGAUGAAAUCUAUUUCAAUGUCUUAACUCACUAGGAGCCAAAUAUUAUAUUAUAUUUUGGAGGGUGAUUUAAGAGCCCGUUGGAGAUGCUCUAAG